Long non-coding RNA from Drosophila navojoa, 104 nucleotides. Lineage: Eukaryota; Metazoa; Arthropoda; Insecta; Diptera; Drosophilidae. The record is from RefSeq and is a predicted model, not a curated record.
UUGGAAACCAGCGUUCAGUUGUUCUCAAUAUAAGUUUCACAUUCUCCUUCAAUGACGACUUCGACUAGUUCUCGUUGUUAAAUUCGGUUUUCAUUGUUGUUGUU